This 293-nucleotide ribosomal RNA is filed under the name uncultured eukaryote. RNAcentral's name for it is "partial 18S ribosomal RNA". It matches the Rfam family "Eukaryotic small subunit ribosomal RNA", at positions 6 to 295 of the family's 1831-position model. The record is from RNAcentral.
GGUUGAUCCUGGCAGUAGUCAUAUGCUUGUCUCAAAGAUUAAGCCGUGCAUGUCUAAGUAUGAACUAAUUCACAUUGUGAAACUGCGGAUGGCUCAUUAAAUCAGUUAUAGUUUUUUUGAUGGUACCAUACUACUCGGAUAACUGUAUUAAUUCUAGAGCUAAUACAUGCACCAAGUCCCGACUCUUUGGAAGGGAUGCAUUUUUUAGAUAAAAGGCCGGCGCGGGCUUGCCCGCUUCUCCAGUGAAUCAUGAUAACUCGACGGAUCGCAUAGCCCUUGUGCUGGCAUUGCUU